RNAcentral lists this ribosomal RNA (1152 nucleotides) under marine metagenome. RNAcentral's name for it is "bacterial SSU rRNA". It matches the Rfam family "Archaeal small subunit ribosomal RNA", at positions 1 to 1161 of the family's 1478-position model. The record is from RNAcentral.
UCCGGUUGAUCCUGCCGGAGGCUACCGCUAUUGGAGUUCGAUUAAGCCAUGCGAGUCGAGAGUCUUAGGGACUCGGCGCACCGCUCAGUAACACGUGGGUAACCUGCCCUAUGCUGGGGAAUAACCUCGGGAAACUGAGAAUAAUGCCCCAUAGCCCACUACGCCUGGAACGGUGAGUGGGUCAAAGCUCCGGCGGCAUAGGAUGGGCCUGCGCCGUAUCAGGUUGUAGGGGGUGUAAAGUACCCUCUAGCCAUCAACGCGUACGGGUGUUGGGAGACAUUGCCCGGAGAUGGAUUCUGAGACACGAAUCCAGACCCUACGGGGUGCAGCAGGCGCGAAAACUUGGCAAUGCGAGCAAUCGUGACCAGGGAACUCCAAGUGCGUAGGGUAAGACCUACGCUUUUCUUGACUCUUCAAAGGUCUUGGAAUAAGGGGUGGGUAAGGACGGUGCCAGCCGCCGCGGUAAUACCGGCGCCUCAAGUGGUAGUCGCUUUUAUUGGGCCUAAAACGUCCGUAGCCGGUCUGGUGCAUUCGUGGGUAAAUCAACCCGCUCAACGGGUUGAAUUCUGCGAGCACGGCCAGACUUGGGACCGGGAGAGGUGUGGGGUACUCUCAGGGUAGGGGUAAAAUCCUGUCAUCCUGAGAGGACCACCUGUUGCGAAGGCGCCACACUAGAACGGAUCCGACGGUCAGGGACGAAACCUAGGGGCACGAACCGGAUUAGAUACCCGGGUAGUCCUAGGUGUAAACGCUGUGGACUUGAUGUUGGGGGCGCUCCGAGCGCUUUCAGUGUCGAAGCGAAGGUGAUAAGUCCACUGCCUGGGGAGUACGGUCGCAAGGCUGAAACUUAAAGGAAUUGGCGGGGGAGCACCGCAACCUGAGGAUUGUGCGGUUUAAUUGGAUUCAACGCCGGAAAACUCACCAGUGCCGACGGACAAAUGAAAGCCAGUGUGAUGAGCUUGCUGGAUUGUUCGAGAGGUAGUGCAUGGCCGCCGUCAGUUCGUACCGUAAGGCGUUCUGUUAAGUCAGAUAACGAACGAGACCCUCAUCUCUAUUUGCAACCCGUCUCUCCGGAGGCGGCGCACUAUAGAGAGACCGCUGGUGUGAAACCAGAGGAAGGCGAGGGCAACGACAGGUCAGUAUGCCCCGAAU